CUUGCUUCUUUGCUGACGAGUGGCGGACGGGUGAGUAAUGUCUGGGAAACUGCCUGAUGGAGGGGGAUAACUACUGGAAACGGUAGCUAAUACCGCAUAACGUCGCAAGACCAAAGAGGGGGACCUUCGGGCCUCUUGCCAUCGGAUGUGCCCAGAUGGGAUUAGCUAGUAGGUGGGGUAACGGCUCACCUAGGCGACGAUCCCUAGCUGGUCUGAGAGGAUGACCAGCCACACUGGAACUGAGACACGGUCCAGACUCCUACGGGAGGCAGCAGUGGGGAAUAUUGCACAAUGGGCGCAAGCCUGAUGCAGCCAUGCCGCGUGUAUGAAGAAGGCCUUCGGGUUGUAAAGUACUUUCAGCGGGGAGGAAGGGAGUAAAGUUAAUACCUUUGCUCAUUGACGUUACCCGCAGAAGAAGCACCGGCUAACUCCGUGCCAGCAGCCGCGGUAAUACGGAGGGUGCAAGCGUUAAUCGGAAUUACUGGGCGUAAAGCGCACGCAGGCGGUUUGUUAAGUCAGAUGUGAAAUCCCCGGGCUCAACCUGGGAACUGCAUCUGAUACUGGCAAGCUUGAGUCUCGUAGAGGGGGGUAGAAUUCCAGGUGUAGCGGUGAAAUGCGUAGAGAUCUGGAGGAAUACCGGUGGCGA
This 646-nucleotide ribosomal RNA is filed under the name uncultured bacterium. RNAcentral describes it as "bacterial SSU rRNA". It matches the Rfam family "Bacterial small subunit ribosomal RNA", at positions 75 to 718 of the family's 1533-position model. The record is from RNAcentral.